AUUGAACGCUGGCGGCAUGCCUUACACAUGCAAGUCGAACGGGCUUUGGGGCCUGCUCCAAGGUUAGUGGCGAACGGGUGAGUAAUAUAUCGGAACGUACCCUAGAGUGGGGGAUAACUAGUCGAAAGGCUGGCUAAUACCGCAUACGAUCUAAGGAUGAAAGUGGGGGACCUUCGGGCCUCAUGCUCAUGGAGCGGCCGAUAUCUGAUUAGCUAGUUGGUGGGGUAAAAGCCUACCAAGGCGACGAUCAGUAGCUGGUCUGAGAGGACGAUCAGCCACACUGGGACUGAGACACGGCCCAGACUCCUACGGGAGGCAGCAGUGGGGAAUUUUGGACAAUGGGCGAAAGCUGAUCCAGCAAUGCCGCGUGAGUGAAGAAGGCCUUCGGGUUGUAAAGCUCUUUUGUCAGGGAAGAACACGUACGAGAGGAAAUGCUCAUACCUUGACGGUACCUUACGAGAAAGCCACGGCUAACUACGUGCCAGCCGCCGCCGUAA
RNAcentral lists this ribosomal RNA (497 nucleotides) under uncultured bacterium. RNAcentral's name for it is "partial 16S ribosomal RNA". It matches the Rfam family "Bacterial small subunit ribosomal RNA", at positions 30 to 523 of the family's 1533-position model. The record is from RNAcentral.